Lagopus muta (rock ptarmigan) is the source of this 1078-nucleotide long non-coding RNA. RefSeq lists it as uncharacterized. Lineage: Eukaryota; Metazoa; Chordata; Aves; Galliformes; Phasianidae. The record is from RefSeq and is a predicted model, not a curated record. The transcript is spliced from 2 exons.
UAUAUAAUUCAUACCAAAAAAGCUGAUCUGAAAUUCCAGUGCUUACUUGAAUUAUUUAAUCUUCAGUUCCACUCACAACAGAAGUGUCCGUUUGCACAUAGAAAUGAGAGAGUUAAACUUAAUAAGAAGGUAAUUUGUAUUCCCUAAUGGAGAGUAUGAGGUCACUGUGUGAAUGAACAUUUAUCAAAGAGAAGAUGAACUUAAAUAAAACUACAUCUUUAUUGCCUCAAGGUUAGUGUUUUGAAUUAUAUCUGUUCUGUGUAUGACUUAGGCUGCAAUCUCCUUGAAAGAGGAGCACCCAGUGCUCUCUUAGUGUUGGUACAGAAGAGCACUCCAGGAUACCUGAUAGACAUGAUUGCUAAUCACAUAAUUGUUCGGGGUGUUGCCUUGACAGAAACUUAAUCCUAAUAAUGUUUUCCCCCAAAAAGGUUUGAUAUAGCUUUGGAUAAGUACAGCAGUGAAAACCUGGUAAGAAAAGGCAAAAUGCAUUUCUUGAAGGCUUGUUUUAUAUAUGACUCAUAGGGCAAACAGAAACCCUCAGUUUACAAAACUGCAAAUUUAUCUUCACCCCACAUAUCAGGUCUGUUUACCAAAAUCUGUUGCUGCUUAAUAAAUUACUCAUGUGUUUCAGACUGCCUCUCGUCAUCGAUUUUAGCUCUAGUUACCUUUGAGUGUUCUGCUAUUUCCUGGUUUGUUCCUUCAUUAAUAUUGCCUUCUCAAUCCAUGGUAGGCACAGUUUCUAAAGAUAAAUUGUUUUCAACCCUUGAAGGUGGUAACACUGUGACAGCUUUAUGCUCUCUACAUACAAGCAAAAGCACUCAUGGCAGAGACAACAAUUCACUGCUUAAAUGAAACAGCUACCAGCAAAGAAUAAAAGGCUUUACAGAAAGACUUCAGUUCUACGUUGACCUCGUCCUGGCAACAAUCCCAGCAUCUGACAGUUAAUUUCAACAAAUUAGAGACAAAUAACUAAUGGAAUAGACUUGCCAAAAACCUACCUAACUUUGCCAAAAAAGAGAGAUAUCAGUGAUGUCAGCAUCUAAAAACACUAUUAUUGCACUGGAUAGAUUGAAUGGAC